GGGGGGAGAGUGCAGGGAAGACAAGAAGCUUUUGCAAGCACAUGGAUCGUCUUAAGACUAUUGUCCUAUAUGAUGUCUUCGUGCUGUUGGUACAUGGGUCUGAAGUGAAUUCUGCACCAAUGGCAGCAUAUUCUCCUCCCAGUGCCAUUUAUUUGAUGAAAGUUCGUUGGUGAAUUAAGGCGACUUGCACAGUUAUUGUGGAUACAAGAAACAUGAGGCCAAGAAAGAAAACUAUGACUGUGACACACUGAAAGAAACAGCAUAAACAAAAAAUUGAAACAUGAGACUGUGGACUAAGACAACUGGAAGUAGUGAGCAUGCUGAAGGAGGAAUUUCCUGAAUGUAUCUUUAACUAUUCAAACGACACAUGUGAUUAUGUGAAUGUGGCUAAUAGAAGAGAGGUGGCUCUACUGCAUGUUGCAUUCUGGAUUUGUUUUGUGCCUGAGAGGAGUUGAAUUCCUGAGCACUGGAGAUCUCAACAUAUUUGUGCUGGCUCUGCUCGUGACAGUAUAGUGGUGCAGGUGAUUGCCAGGAAAGAACUGAGAGGCUCUGACUUUUCCAAGGCACAGGAUUAUGCAAUGGAGAAGAAUAUUUUAGAAUCUAAAGAGAGAGUUCAGAACAUCAUGGUCAGAAGUCCAUGGACAUUGGAAACAGUUCUCCUAUUUGUUGUGUCUUCUCCAUUCUCCAGAGAUCUGAGUCACCGCACAGGAUACACCUACCCUCUGGAGAUUGGUUCAGAAGAAAGAGAAUAAAAUUUUCAAAGGGACCUCAGCUUGGUCUCUGAAAUAGGAGAGGGGGCUUCUGCUGCUGUCUGAUUGUGUACUUCUGAUUUUCUGAUCCAAAUGAGGUUGCGAAAUUCAUAUGUAGAGACAAUAAAGGCCACAUCUUUUUUCCACCGAAGUCAGUGGGAAGGUUUCCUACAGGUUCAAUAGGAGCAGAUAUGUGUGGUCAAAAGAUUUAAAGAAGACAGAAGAGGAGACGGAACAGCAAAAACAAAGGACAUGUUCUGCUCCUGAAAAAACUAGAAGGAACUCAGAAAGAAAAAGUAGCCUCCUACAGGUACUCUGAGCAGUAUUAUCUCCAGCUACCACAUCAGCAGACCACACAUGUGUAAAAUGAUGUGUUAUCAAAAUAUCUACAAUGGUGACUUAAAAAAAAAG
Non-coding RNA from Pelodiscus sinensis (Chinese soft-shelled turtle), 1160 nucleotides. The record is from RefSeq and is a predicted model, not a curated record. NCBI's taxonomy places the organism in Eukaryota, Metazoa, Chordata, Testudines, Trionychidae.